RNAcentral lists this transfer RNA (84 nucleotides) under Crocinitomicaceae bacterium. Its description in RNAcentral is "tRNA-Leu". It matches the Rfam family "tRNA". From Rfam's summary of the family: Transfer RNA (tRNA) molecules are approximately 80 nucleotides in length. Their secondary structure includes four short double-helical elements and three loops (D, anti-codon, and T loops). Lineage: Bacteria; Pseudomonadati; Bacteroidota; Flavobacteriia; Flavobacteriales; Crocinitomicaceae. RNAcentral also lists the same sequence under 1 other name. The record is from RNAcentral.
GCCGAGGUGGUGAAAUUGGUAGACGCGCUGGAUUCAAAAUCCAGUGUCCUUCGGGACGUGUGGGUUCGAUCCCCACCCUCGGUA